RNAcentral lists this long non-coding RNA (478 nucleotides) under Capsicum annuum. RNAcentral describes it as "long non-coding RNA (CANN_LNC003434)". Lineage: Eukaryota; Viridiplantae; Streptophyta; Magnoliopsida; Solanales; Solanaceae. The record is from RNAcentral.
AGAAGCGGCGGGGUUGGUGUUGUUUGGACGCUCGCCUGGAUCUCGAACAGUGAAGGAAAAGGAGAGAAUUAUUAGGGAGAAGGAGAUGAAAAUGAUGAUUGUGUGUGUUGUCAUGUUUUGUAGUGUGUGUAUUUUGUAAAAUAAAAAUGGAGAUUAUCGCUCAAGUGUGUGUGUAUGUGCCUUUUGGAUGAAGAAGAAAGAAAAAGGAAAAAUUGGGUUCUGUGUAUUUUGUAAUAUGUUAGAGUAUUGUUCUAUGUUCAUGGUCUGUCUGUGAAUGGAUGAUAGCAUAGCUAUUUAUUUUGUGAAGAAAAAUGUCAAAAAUAGAGGUUGUUGUGUAAUGCAUCCGUUGGAGUGUUUUGAAGAGCAAAAUAGAAAAAUGAAAUAAAUAAAAUAUGCUUGUGUAUUUAUGAAUAUGUGGUGAGUUUGCAAAGGAAAAAUAUUUAUGAGUUGUAAUAAAUAAAUAUAUGUGUAUUUUGAA